Molecule: ribosomal RNA, 557 nt
Filed under: uncultured bacterium
Lineage: Bacteria
Description: partial 16S ribosomal RNA
Rfam family: Bacterial small subunit ribosomal RNA
Source: RNAcentral
UAGGGAAUCUUCGGCAAUGGGGGCAACCCUGACCGAGCAACGCCGCGUGAGUGAAGAAGGUUUUCGGAUCGUAAAGCUCUGUUGUAAGUCAAGAACGGGUGUGAGAGUGGAAAGUUCACACUGUGACGGUAGCUUACCAGAAAGGGACGGCUAACUACGUGCCAGCAGCCGCGGUAAUACGUAGGUCCCCGAGCGUUGUCCGGAUUUAUUGGGCGUAAAGCGAGCGCAGGCGGUUUGAUAAGUCUGAAGUUAAAGGCUGUGGCUCAACCAUAGUUCGCUUUGGAAACUGUCAAACUUGAGUGCAGAAGGGGAGAGUGGAAUUCCAUGUGUAGCGGUGAAAUGCGUAGAUAUAUGGAGGAACACCGGUGGCGAAAAGCGGCUCUCUGGUCUGUAACUGACGCUGAGGCUCGAAAGCGUGGGGAGCGAACAGGAUUAGAUACCCUGGUAGUCCACGCCGUAAACGAUGAGUGCUAGGUGUUGGAUCCUUUCCGGGAUUCAGUGCCGCAGCUAACGCAUUAAGCACUCCGCCUGGGGGAGUACGACCGCAAGGUUGAAAC